GGUAGCAAACAGGAUUAGAUACCCUGGAGAGGGCCUUUUACGAUGAAUUCUAAGUGUUGGAGGGUUUCCGCCCUUCAGUGCUGCAGCUAACGCAUAAGAAAGGGGCCUGGGGAGUACGACCGCAAGGUUGAAACUCAAAGGAAUUGACGGGGGCCCGCACAAGCGGUGGAGCAUGUGGUUUAAUUCGAAGCAACGCGAAGAACCUUACCAGGUCUUGACAUCUUCUGCCAGGCUAAGAGAUCAGCUGUUCCCUUCGGGGACAGAAUGACAGGUGGUGCAUGGUUGUCGUCAGCUCGUGUCUUGAGAUGUUGGGUUAAGUCCCGUUUCUUUUCGUCCCCUUAUGAUCAGUUGCCAGCAUUUUGUUGGGCACUCUGGUCAGACUGCCGGUGACAAACCGGAGGAAGGUGGGGAUGACGUCAAAUCAUCAUGCCCCUUAUGACUUGGGCUAA
This 449-nucleotide ribosomal RNA is filed under the name uncultured Lactobacillales bacterium. RNAcentral describes it as "bacterial SSU rRNA". It matches the Rfam family "Bacterial small subunit ribosomal RNA", at positions 764 to 1217 of the family's 1533-position model. The record is from RNAcentral. Lineage: Bacteria; Bacillati; Bacillota; Bacilli; Lactobacillales.